GAUGAACGCUGGCGGCGUGCCUAAUACAUGCAAGUCGAGCGAACAGACGAGGAGCUUGCUCCUUUGACGUUAGCGGCGGACGGGUGAGUAACACGUGGAUAACCUACCUAUAAGACUGGGAUAACUUCGGGAAACCGGAGCUAAUACCGGAUAAUAUAUUGAACCGCAUGGUUCAAUAGUGAAAGACGGUUUUGCUGUCACUUAUAGAUGGAUCCGCGCCGCAUUAGCUAGUUGGUAAGGUAACGGCUUACCAAGGCAACGAUGCGUAGCCGACCUGAGAGGGUGAUCGGACACACGGGAACUGAGACACGGUCCAGACUCCUACGGGAGGCAGCAGUAGGGAAUCUUCCGCAAUGGGCGAAAGCCUGACGGAGCAACGCCGCGUGAGUGAUGAAGGUCUUCGGAUCGUAAAACUCUGUUAUUAGGGAAGAACAAAUGUGUAAGUAACUAUGCACGUCUUGACGGUACCUAAUCAGAAAGCCACGGCUAACUACGUG
This 497-nucleotide ribosomal RNA is filed under the name uncultured bacterium. RNAcentral's name for it is "partial 16S ribosomal RNA". It matches the Rfam family "Bacterial small subunit ribosomal RNA", at positions 28 to 507 of the family's 1533-position model. The record is from RNAcentral.